GAUGAACGCUGGCGGCGUGCCUAAUACAUGCAAGUCGAGCGAACAGACGAGGAGCUUGCUCCUCUGACGUUAGCGGCGGACGGGUGAGUAACACGUGGAUAACCUACCUAUAAGACUGGGAUAACUUCGGGAAACCGGAGCUAAUACCGGAUAAUAUAUUGAACCGCAUGGUUCAAUAGUGAAAGACGGUUUUGCUGUCACGUAUAGAUGGAUCCGCGCCGCAUUAGCUAGUUGGUAAGGUAACGGCUUAUCAAGGCGACGAUGCGUAGCCGACCUGAGAGGGUGGUCGGCCACACUGGAGCUGGGACACGGUCCAUACGCCUACGGGAGGCAGCAGUAGGGAAUCUGCCGCAAUGGGCGAAAGCCUGACGGAGCAACGCCGCGUGAGUUAUGAAGGUCUUCGGAUCGUAAAACUCUGUUAUUAGUGAAGAACAAAUGUGUAAGUAACUAUGCACGUCUUGACGGUACCUAAUCAGAAAGCCACGGCUAACUACGUG
RNAcentral lists this ribosomal RNA (497 nucleotides) under uncultured bacterium. Its description in RNAcentral is "partial 16S ribosomal RNA". It matches the Rfam family "Bacterial small subunit ribosomal RNA", at positions 28 to 507 of the family's 1533-position model. The record is from RNAcentral.